CGGCGGCGGCGGCGGCGGAGGAGGAGGAGGAGGAGGAGGCGGCCGGGGCCGGGGCGCCGGGGCCGCGCUGCUCGGGCGCCAGCACCGUAUCAGGUCACAUUCCGAGCAUCCGAGUGGACGUGAACUCUGGCGGACGCCGUUCAACUCCCACCUGGGGGUAGAGCGUGGCAUAGAGAACCUGAUGGCAGGAGGGGUGCCUGACGGAGGGAGCGGAGAAAGAGGACGGUACAGGAUCGAAAGCACAAGGAGAGGACCAGACUUGACCAAAGACGACAUUCCACUGGCAGUCUCAGCUGCAAACGGGAGCAGAAAGGUGAAGGAAGACACGACGAGGGUAAGAAGGCAGGUUGGAGGAUCCUUCAGCCGGUCGGUGAGCUGUCUGCUGAGACAUCAUGCGGGGACACCCUUGGGCUGGACGGGUUAACAAGUAAAGCUGAGGCUUGAAACACCGCCUGGGAGUAAGUGACAAUGUGUGACCCCAUGUUGAGCAGCAGCGAGGGUCUGGCUGAGGCUCUGGAAGGCCAUUCCUUGAAAAGAACUUUGCUGAGUGAGUACAUUGACAAAACCAGCCUGCCCCGCUUGGUCAAACGCUGAACUGGACGAGGAAAUCUCAGGACAGGUCAUUCAUCUUUGAAACUACUCGUCUCAUUAAAGAAAACAACACCUAAGCACCACAUUCAGCGAUUCAACCAAUCUAACAUUUGGUGGGUUUUAUAUUUAGGGCCAAAAACCCAUUUCUAACAAAUCCAGCCCCGCAUUCAAAUCAUUUCCAGAUCUGCAGACUUGGGGGUGAGCUUUACGAGUUACAGUGAAACCAAGAGACCUUGGAGGCCGGAGUGGGGUGGCUGUGUUCUCCAACCCGAUGUGGAAUGACAGAGAGGUAUCCUCUCCGAUGGCUGGGCAAAGAAAGUCAUCUCAGCAGGUGGCUGCACCCCUGGAACUGGAUGUGCCCGGGAGAGCUCGGGGCCGCUGCAAAUCAGACCGGUCAUAGUGUCCAUCCGUAAACAGAUUCUGUCAGAAUCUCUGCCGUGGGGUCCACCUGCGUGGGAGGGAGAAUCAGCAGGGAGCAGACGGGGUGGGGGGGGGGGGGAAUCCUACGUUCGUAUUUCAGAUUCAGACAACCCUCCCUUCCCUGCCCCAAGCUUCACCGUCCAACGCGGAGAUGGGCAAAGGCCAGAACAGACUAGAGAGCUCGCAGAC
Molecule: long non-coding RNA, 1200 nt
Organism: Neofelis nebulosa (Clouded leopard)
Lineage: Eukaryota; Metazoa; Chordata; Mammalia; Carnivora; Felidae
Exons: 3
Source: RefSeq, a predicted model, not a curated record